AAUAUUGGACAAUGGGCGAAAGCCUGAUCCAGCCAUGCCGCGUGAGUGAUGAAUGCCCUAGGGUUGUAAAGCUCUUUCAACGGUGAAGAUAAUGACGGUAACCGUAGAAGAAGCCCCGGCUAACUUCGUGCCAGCAGCCGCGGUAAUACGAAGGGGGAUAGCGUUGUUCGGAAUUACUGGGCGUAAAGCGCACGUAGGCGGAUUGUUAAGUGAGGGGUGAAAGCAAAGGGCUAAACCAUGGAACUGCCUCUAAUACUGGCAAUCUAGAGUGCGAGAGAGGUGAGUGGAAGUCCGAGUGUAGAGGUGAAAUUCGUAGAUAUUCGGAGGAACACCAGUGGCGAAGGCGGCUCACUGGCUCGAUACUGACGCUGAGGUGCGAAAGCGUGGGGAGCAAAC
This 396-nucleotide ribosomal RNA is filed under the name uncultured bacterium. Its description in RNAcentral is "partial 16S ribosomal RNA". It matches the Rfam family "Bacterial small subunit ribosomal RNA", at positions 360 to 773 of the family's 1533-position model. The record is from RNAcentral.